GUUUUAAUAGUUUAAAUAAAACAUUGGUCUUGUAAAUCAAAAUUGAAUAAUAAUUCUUAAAACU
This 64-nucleotide transfer RNA is filed under the name Scelimena sp. 1 XDL-2023a. RNAcentral describes it as "tRNA-Thr". It matches the Rfam family "tRNA". Rfam says of the family: Transfer RNA (tRNA) molecules are approximately 80 nucleotides in length. Their secondary structure includes four short double-helical elements and three loops (D, anti-codon, and T loops). Lineage: Eukaryota; Metazoa; Arthropoda; Insecta; Orthoptera; Tetrigidae. The record is from RNAcentral.